GAUGAACGCUGGCGGCGUGCCUAAUACAUGCAAGUCGAGCGAACGGACGAGAAGCUUGCUUCUCUGAUGUUAGCGGCGGACGGGUGAGUAACACGUGGAUAACCUACCUAUAAGACUGGGAUAACUUCGGGAAACCGUAGCUAAUACCGGAUAAUAUUUUGAACCGCAUGGUUCAAAAGUGAAAGACGGUCUUGCUGUCACUUAUAGAUGGAUCCGCGCUGCAUUAGCUAGUUGGUAAGGUAACGGCUUACCAAGGCAACGAUGCAUAGCCGACCUGAGAGGGUGAUCGGCCACACUGGAACUGAGACACGGUCCAGACUCCUACGGGAGGCAGCAGUAGGGAAUCUUCCGCAAUGGGCGAAAGCCUGACGGAGCAACGCCGCGUGAGUGAUGAAGGUCUUCGGAUCGUAAAACUCUGUUAUUAGGGAAGAACAUAUGUGUAAGUAACUGUGCACAUCUUGACGGUGCCUAAUCAGAAAUCCACGGCUAACUACGUG
RNAcentral lists this ribosomal RNA (497 nucleotides) under uncultured bacterium. Its description in RNAcentral is "partial 16S ribosomal RNA". It matches the Rfam family "Bacterial small subunit ribosomal RNA", at positions 28 to 507 of the family's 1533-position model. The record is from RNAcentral.